Long non-coding RNA from Cavia porcellus (domestic guinea pig), 1099 nucleotides. RefSeq lists it as uncharacterized. The record is from RefSeq and is a predicted model, not a curated record. The transcript has 2 exons. NCBI's taxonomy places the organism in Eukaryota, Metazoa, Chordata, Mammalia, Rodentia, Caviidae.
UCUGAGCAAUGGAGAGGAACCCAGCCCGCAGCAGACAGCCUGAAACCCCGUAUUCAGCUCUGAGGCCAUACCUACUACCUCUGGGCUUCUCAAGUCAUAUCAGCUAAUGUGUUUAAUUUUGGUUUUGGCCAUGUGAAAUCGGGUUUCCUGUCACUUACAUUUAAAGGACCCUAAAACAUCUCUCCACUUAAAACACUUUUUUCUUAUCUUAUCAUAAAACCAACAGUGAAACAAAAACCCAUCCCACCAUCAUGUGUUCAACCGCAGUCAAUCUCACUCCUUCCCUUCACACCAACCACCCUAUGUCCUCCUUUUCUAUCUCUUCCUUAACUCCCUGGAAAUGAAUCCAGAUUUUCCUCUACUUGCCUUCAGCAUGACCACAGGCGACCAGUGUCUUCACCUUGAAAUUCUGUUCUCACAUUUGGUUGAUAACCCUCCUGCUUCUCCUCCUGUCACACGUUUCCUUCCCUAGCUCCCCUCCAGUCCCAUGUGCCCGGCACGCACGAGUGCUCAUCAGGGUUUUGACGACCGCCCCCUUCCUUAGUAUUCCAGGUGACUGCCCGGGGCAGCGGAGACGGCGUGUAAAGGCCAGUGACUGCACUGGCGAAGGGCUGGGCAGAGAACUAUGGUGAGCGGGACCAAAAAGGGAAAGCAAGACCAAGAAGCAGCAAGAGAGGCAGGGUCUCAGUUGCCAAGGUUGGCCUCAAACUCUUGGUGUUGGGAGCCACCACAUUGCCGAGCCGCCGCAUAUAGCGAUCAUGCAGCCUGUGGUAAAGAGCAAAGCCUGAGUUAGAUUACCCCUCCCAUCGAGCACGUUAGUUUCCUGCUUACCGCGUAAACAACCCGCUCAAUAAUAUGUUAGCCAAUCAGCUUGCCUUGCUUACUUUAAUAUGACUGGACACUGUAUCCGUAUAUAUACUGGUGCCACCCCUGGGGGGAAGUAGAAGCCCGGAAGGAGCCGCGGAGAGCGGACCGGUAGAGGCUUCGGAGCGAAGCACGGAAGGAGCCGCGGGGAGCGGACCAGAGGAGGCUUCGGCUGGGAGCGAUCCCAGGGCAGGCUGUACGGAGAGAAAAUAAAAGAAAAGGUUGUCCACUGCCA